AUUGAACGCUGGCGGAAUGCUUUACACAUGCAAGUUGAACGGCAGCACGGGUGCUUGCACCUGGUGGCGAGUGGCGAACGGGUGAGUAACAUAUCGGAACGUACCCAGUAAUGGGGGAUAACUAACCGAAAGGUUAGCUAAUACCGCAUACGCCCUGAGGGGGAAAGCGGGGGAUCGAAAGACCACGCGUUAUUGGAGCGGCCGAGAUCUGAUUAGCUAGUUGGUGAGGUAAAGGCUCACCACGGCGACGAUCAGUAGCAGGUCUGAGAGGAUGAUCUUCCACACUGGAAAUAAGACACGGUACAGGCUCCUACGGGAGGCAGCAGUGGGGAAUUUUGGACAAUGGGGGAAACCCUGAUCCAGCCAUUCCGCGUGAGUGAAGAAGGCCUUCGGGUUGUAAAGCUCUUUCGGCAGGGAAGAAACGGUUCUGGAUAAUACCCGGAGCUAAUGACGGUGCCUGAAGAAGAAGCACCGGCUAACUACGUGCCAGCCGCCGCCGUAA
RNAcentral lists this ribosomal RNA (502 nucleotides) under uncultured bacterium. Its description in RNAcentral is "partial 16S ribosomal RNA". It matches the Rfam family "Bacterial small subunit ribosomal RNA", at positions 30 to 523 of the family's 1533-position model. The record is from RNAcentral.